Molecule: ribosomal RNA, 432 nt
Filed under: uncultured bacterium
Lineage: Bacteria
Description: partial 16S ribosomal RNA
Rfam family: Bacterial small subunit ribosomal RNA
Source: RNAcentral
AACGAACGCUGGCGGCAUGCCUAACACAUGCAAGUCGAACGAGACCUUCGGGUCUAGUGGCGCACGGGUGCGUAACGCGUGGGAACCUGCCCUUAGGUUCGGAAUAACUCCCCGAAAGGGGUGCUAAUACCGGAUAAUGUCUUCGGACCAAAGAUUUAUCGCCUUUGGAUGGGCCCGCGUUGGAUUAGCUAGUUGGUAGGGUAAAAGCCUACCAAGGCGACGAUCCAUAGCUGGUCUGAGAGGAGGAUCAGCCACACUGGGACUGAGACACGGCCCAGACCCCCACGGGGGGCAGCGGGGGGGAAAAUGGGACAGGGGGCGAAAGCCUGACCCAGCAAUGCCGGGGGAGUGAUGAAGGCCUUAGGGUUGUAAAGCUCUUUUACCCGGGAUGAUAAUGACAGUACCGGGAGAAUAAGCCCCGGCUAACUCCGU